Molecule: ribosomal RNA, 427 nt
Filed under: uncultured bacterium
Lineage: Bacteria
Description: bacterial SSU rRNA
Rfam family: Bacterial small subunit ribosomal RNA
Source: RNAcentral
UGGGGAAUAUUGGACAAUGGGCGCAAGCCUGAUCCAGCCACGCCGCGUGAGUGAUGAAGGCCUUCGGGUCGUAAAGCUCUGUGGGGAGGGACGAACCGCCAUCGGUUAAUACCCGGUGGCAUGACGGUACCUCCUUAGCAAGCACCGGCUAACUUCGUGCCAGCAGCCGCGGUAAUACGAAGGGUGCAAACGUUGCUCGGAAUUAUUGGGCGUAAAGCGCACGUAGGCGGCUUAGCAAGUCGGAAGUGAAAUCCCUCGGCUCAACCAAGGAAGUGCUUUCGAAACUGCUGAGCUUGAGUAGUUAAGAGGAUCGCGGAAUUCCCGGUGUAGAGGUGAAAUUCGUAGAUAUCGGGAGGAACACCAGUGGCGAAGGCGGCGAUCUGGGAACAUACUGACGCUGAGGUGCGAAAGCGUGGGGAGCAAACAG